AUCUUUGUCUUCCCCUCAAAGUCUGGUGGCAAAAUGCUCAACUUAUUAAGUGAAGCUGAUAGGUCUGAAAGCAAUGGGUGCACCUGAUCCACUGCCACCAUAUUCAGUUUUAGGGAAUCCAUAGCUGUAAUAAAGUUCUGGACACACUCAGCCACAAUGGCAGCUGAGGUAGUUGCUGAGGCAGCUGCAGCAGCUGUGGCAGGCACCCCAGAGGUCACCAAACGGUUUAUGGCAGCAGGACAAUCCAUCUUGUAAGUGUCUACAAAGCGCUCAAUGCUAGGAACUAUACCUUUCAGGGUAGAAGCUAGUGUUUUGAAAUGGGCAAUAAGUUUCUGGCAUUCGGUUUCAUACUCAGAUGAGGGGAUGAUAUCACGAAUAUAGGCCUUUUCAAGCUUCUCUGUGGCUUUUAUUAUGGCAUAGAGCUCAGCAAAGUUCUC
Molecule: unclassified non-coding RNA, 437 nt
Filed under: Hevea brasiliensis (rubber tree)
Lineage: Eukaryota; Viridiplantae; Streptophyta; Magnoliopsida; Malpighiales; Euphorbiaceae
Source: RNAcentral